Molecule: ribosomal RNA, 679 nt
Filed under: uncultured bacterium
Lineage: Bacteria
Description: bacterial SSU rRNA
Rfam family: Bacterial small subunit ribosomal RNA
Source: RNAcentral
AGCACGGGAGCUUGCUCCUGGUGGCGAGUGGCGAACGGGUGAGUAAUAUAUCGGAACGUGCCCAGUAGUGGGGGACAGCCCGGCGAAAGCCGGAUUAAUACCGCAUACGAUCUACGGAUGAAAGCGGGGGAUCGCAAGACCUCGCGCUAUUGGAGCGGCCGAUAUCUGAUUAGCUAGUUGGUGAGGUAAAGGCUCACCAAGGCGACGAUCAGUAGCUGGUCUGAGAGGACGACCAGCCACACUGGAACUGAGGCACGGUCCAGACUCCUACGGGAGGCAGCAGUGGGGAAUUUUGGACAAUGGGGGAAACCCUGAUCCAGCAAUGCCGCGUGAGUGAAGAAGGCCUUCGGGUUGUAAAGCUCUUUUGUCAGGGAAGAAACGGUUCUGGCUAAUAUCCAGAGCUAAUGACGGUACCUGAAGAAUAAGCACCGGCUAACUACGUGCCAGCAGCCGCGGUAAUACGUAGGGUGCGAGCGUUAAUCGGAAUUACUGGGCGUAAAGAGUGCGUAGGCGGUUGUGCAAGACAGAUGUGAAAUCCCCGGGCUUAACCUGGGAAUUGCAUUUGUGACUGCACGGCUAGAGUGUGUCAGAGGGGGGUAGAAUUCCACGUGUAGCAGUGAAAUGCGUAGAGAUGUGGAGGAAUACCGAUGGCGAAGGCAGCCCCCUGGGAUAACACUGA